ACACAUGCAAGUCGAGGGGCAGCAUGAUUGAAGCUUGCUUCAAUUGAUGGCGACCGGCGCACGGGUGAGUAACGCGUAUCCAACCUUCCGCUUACUCGGGGAUAGCCUUUCGAAAGAAAGAUUAAUACCCGAUGGUAUGAUGAGAUUGCAUGAUAGCAUCAUUAAAGAUUUAUUGGUAAGCGAUGGGGAUGCGUUCCAUUAGGUAGUAGGCGGGGUAACGGCCCACCUAGCCGACGAUGGAUAGGGGUUCUGAGAGGAGGGUCCCCCACAUUGGAACUGAGACACGGUCCAAACUCCUACGGGAGGCAGCAGUGAGGAAUAUUGGUCAAUGGACGAGAGUCUGAACCAGCCAAGUAGCGUGAAGGAUGAAGGUCCUACGGAUUGUAAACUUCUUUUAUAAGGGAAUAAAACCUCCCACGUGUGGGAGCUUGUAUGUACCUUAUGAAUAAGCAUCGGCUAACUCCGUGCCAGCAGCCGCGGUAAUACGGAGGAUGCGAGCGUUAUCCGGAUUUAUUGGGUUUAAAGGGAGCGCAGACGGGUCGUUAAGUCAGCUGUGAAAGUUUGGGGCUCAACCUUAAAAUUGCAGUUGAUACUGGCGUCCUUGAGUGCGGUUGAGGUGUGCGGAAUUCGUGGUGUAGCGGUGAAAUGCUUAGAUAUCACGAAGAACUCCGAUUGCGAAGGCAGCACACUAAGCCGUAACUGACGUUCAUGCUCGAAAGUGUGGGUAUCAAACAGGAUUAGAUACCCUGGUAGUCCACACGGUAAACGAUGGAUACUCGCUGUUGGCGAUAUACGGUCAGCGGCUUA
This 807-nucleotide ribosomal RNA is filed under the name uncultured bacterium. Its description in RNAcentral is "bacterial SSU rRNA". It matches the Rfam family "Bacterial small subunit ribosomal RNA", at positions 51 to 850 of the family's 1533-position model. The record is from RNAcentral.